This 103-nucleotide ribosomal RNA is filed under the name Bacillus subtilis. RNAcentral describes it as "partial 16S ribosomal RNA". It matches the Rfam family "Bacterial small subunit ribosomal RNA", at positions 1 to 99 of the family's 1533-position model. Lineage: Bacteria; Bacillati; Bacillota; Bacilli; Caryophanales; Bacillaceae. RNAcentral also lists the same sequence under 7 other names. The record is from RNAcentral.
UUUAUCGGAGAGUUUGAUCCUGGCUCAGGACGAACGCUGGCGGCGUGCCUAAUACAUGCAAGUCGAGCGGACAGAUGGGAGCUUGCUCCCUGAUGUUAGCGGC